CGUCGAGCUACUACGGUAGUGAAGUCAUUGAUGCCAUGCUUCCAGGAAAAGCCUCUAAGCUUCAGAUUGUAAGGAAUCGUACCCCAAACCGACACAGGUGGUCGGGUAGAGAAUACCAAGGCGCUUGAGAGAACUCGGGUGAAGGAACUAGGCAAAAUGGUACCGUAACUUCGGGAGAAGGUACGCUCUUGAUGGUGAAGUCCCUUGCGGAUGGAGCUGACGAGAGUCGCAGAUACCAGGUGGCUGCAACUGUUUAUUAAAAACACAGCACUGUGCAAAAUCGUAAGAUGACGUAUACGGUGUGACGCCUGCCCGGUGCCGGAAGGUUAAUUGAUGGGGUUAGCGUAAGCGAAGCUCUUGAUCGAAGCCCCGGUAAACGGCGGCCGUAACUAUAACGGUCCUAAGGUAGCGAAAUUCCUUGUCGGGUAAGUUCCGACCUGCACGAAUGGCGUAAUGAUGGCCACGCUGUCUCCACCCGAGACUCAGUGAAAUUGAAAUCGCUGUGAAGAUGCAGUGUACCCGCGGCUAGACGGAAAGACCCCGUGAACCUUUACUACAGCUUGGCACUGAACAUUGAACCUACAUGUGUAGGAUAGGUGGGAGGCUUUGAAGACGUGACGCCAGUUGCGUUGGAGCCGUCCUUGAAAUACCACCCUUGUAUGUUUGAUGUUCUAACGUUGGCCCCUAAUCGGGGUUGCGGACAGUGCCUGGUGGGUAGUUUGACUGGGGCGGUCUCCUCCCAAAGAGUAACGGAGGAGCACGAAGGUGGGCUAAUCACGGUUGGACAUCGUGAGGUUAGUGCAAUGGCAUAAGCCCGCUUAACUGCGAGAAUGACGGUUCGAGCAGGUGCGAAAGCAGGUCAUAGUGAUCCGGUGGUUCUGAAUGGAAGGGCCAUCGCUCAACGGAUAAAAGGUACUCCGGGGAUAACAGGCUGAUACCGCCCAAGAGUUCAUAUCGACGGCGGUGUUUGGCACCUCGAUGUCGGCUCAUCACAUCCUGGGGCUGAAGUCGGUCCCAAGGGUAUGGCUGUUCGCCAUUUAAAGUGGUACGCGAGCUGGGUUUAGAACGUCGUGAGACAGUUCGGUCCCUAUCUGCCGUGGGCGUUGGAAGAUUGAAGGGGGCUGCUCCUAGUACGAGAGGACCGGAGUGGACGAACCUCUGGUGUUCGGGUUGUGUCGCCAGACGCAUUGCCCGGUAGCUAAGUUCGGAAUCGAUAACCGCUGAAAGCAUCUAAGCGGGAAGCGAGCCCUGAGAUGAGUCUUCCCUGAUACUUUAAG
RNAcentral lists this ribosomal RNA (1277 nucleotides) under Vibrio vulnificus. RNAcentral describes it as "partial 23S ribosomal RNA". It matches the Rfam family "Bacterial large subunit ribosomal RNA", at positions 1567 to 2832 of the family's 2925-position model. Lineage: Bacteria; Pseudomonadati; Pseudomonadota; Gammaproteobacteria; Vibrionales; Vibrionaceae. The record is from RNAcentral.